Molecule: RNA transcript, 1767 nt
Organism: Triticum dicoccoides
Lineage: Eukaryota; Viridiplantae; Streptophyta; Magnoliopsida; Poales; Poaceae
Exons: 3
Source: RefSeq, a predicted model, not a curated record
ACCACCAACACAUAGGGCCAUGGCCACCCCCUGAUCUCCCACCUUCUUCCCCGCCCGGGGCCCCGCACCCCUACCUUCUUCCUCGCCGGAGCCCCACAACCCACCACCUUCUCCAUGGCCUCCUCCCCCACCGGUGGCCGCGCUCGUCAGGCCCGACCUCGCCGGAACCCCACGGCGAGCCCCUACCCCGACGGGGGCCUACCCUCCUCCAGUGGCUCGGACCACCAUGGCUCCGCCACAAAUCUGAAACAAGACUCCGGCGGGGGACUGCCCCCGCGCUGGCCAGGGUCGUCCUCUUUGUCCAUGGCCAGACGAAGACUAGUCGUGCGCCCCUUCACCGCCAUCGACGGGACUUGGUCAACGGCCAAAGCCAUGGCCACCAAGCGCGUCCGCAACAGCAACAUAAUUGAAGUGCGCCGGGGCACGCGAUGCGGUUCGGUGACGCGUGGUCGUGUAGUUCGCGGCCACCACAGGCCCCCUCACCUCUACCUCCAUGGCCACGUCCUCAACUAGCGGCGCCCUGCCCUCGUCACCGGCCAUGGCGCCGCAGCCACCAGGCUCGAGCGUCUGCUCUUCUCCCUUGACCCUUUGCUAGCCGGCGUCACCCCGGGCCGAUCCAGGCAGUUGGGCGGGGGUGUGGAUGUGCAGGGUAGUGCUCCCCGAGGUGCAGUGCGGCGUGCGUGCGUGCAGUCCAAAAAUCGGAGGCGUGCAGUGUAGUAGAGCACCAGAUGGCAGUGGCCAACAGCCCCUCGAUCCCGUCUAUCUGCCGACGGCAACUACUCACAUGGCGCUGCUCCUUGGACCCGCUCCAUCACCGGCAUCCCGCCGAUACGACGAGCAGCAAUGGAGGACCCCUGCAGAUCCCGUGCUCCUCGUCAACGGCAGCCGCCACCUGUUGUCUAGAUGAAGAAGAAGCGGUUUGCAGUCCACGCGAUGCCGGCGUGCAGUUUGUGUGUGCAGCUUCCAGCCCAACGACGGCCUGAUCCUCUCCAUUUUCGGAGUUAAUUUAUUUCCCCUAAUGUCACCUCACUCCUUGUAGAAAGGUUAUAUAUAGCAACUGAACCUCUUAGUUAGCAAUUUGGUGUUGUCACUAUGGAAUUCGAAUUUGGUGUUUGGUGCUUCCCAUUGAUCCAUUUUUUAUCCUAUAAAAUCCUCAAUGUAUAUGCAAGUACGAGUAGUAUACAAACCAAUACAUAUAUAGAGUGUUUUUGGUGCUUUUAACAUUCUUUAUGUCAGUUCCAUCCUAGUGUCGGUAACAACUAUAUUAUCCUGGCUGCAGCAACAAGUUUUAUCAAACUUGGUGAGGUCCCAGCCACCCACGGCAUGCAAUACGGAUAGUGACGACGUGCAGUUUGCUGUGCGAAUGCUGUCCAGGAUUUGCCAUUGGAGAUUGUCUAAAUCCUAGUGGUGGUGUUCCUUCCCGCCGGUGGUGGUGCUACUGCGAGCUGGAGUGGAGCUCUACCCUGACGCGUGGCGCUACAGUCCCUCUUGGUUGUCCCUCACCGCUAUACUCCUCUCUCAAGUAGAGAGCAUCAGUUCGAUUUGUAAUGCAUGCGUCUAGUUCCAGCGGCCGAGGUAGAAGCAGUUUAGUGGCAGCGUGCUUGCAGUUUGGUGCAUGUUGUCUUACAUUUAGGUUGCAAAAAAAUGAUGCAUAUAAGAUGCGUCCAGUUGCGGUUUAGUUGCUGCGCUGAUGCAGUUUUGCUAGGGUACGAGGUGGUGCUUCGUUGUGUAGUGGAAAAAACAAAGAAAAAGGAAAAGGACAAAAUA